This is an unclassified non-coding RNA of Callithrix jacchus (white-tufted-ear marmoset), 302 nucleotides long. It matches the Rfam family "Metazoan signal recognition particle RNA". From Rfam's summary of the family: The signal recognition particle (SRP) is a universally conserved ribonucleoprotein. It is involved in the co-translational targeting of proteins to membranes. Lineage: Eukaryota; Metazoa; Chordata; Mammalia; Primates; Cebidae. The record is from Ensembl.
GCCAGGCGCAGUGGCGCUGCCUGUGGUCCCAGCUACUCGGGAGGCUGAGGUGGGAGGAAGGAUCCCUUGAGCCCAGGAGUUCUGGGCUGUAGUGCGCUAUGCGAUCAGGUGUCCGCACUAAGUUUGGCAUCAAUAUGGUGAUCUCCUGGAAGUGGGGGACCAUCAGGUUGCCUAAGGAGGGGUGAACUGGCUCAGAUGGGAAAUGGAGCAGGUCAAAACUCGAGUAAUGAUCAGUAGUAGGAUUGCGCCUGUGAAUAGCCACUGCACUCCAGCCUGGGCAACAUAGCAAGAUCCUGUCUCCA